Molecule: ribosomal RNA, 465 nt
Filed under: Vreelandella stevensii
Lineage: Bacteria; Pseudomonadati; Pseudomonadota; Gammaproteobacteria; Oceanospirillales; Halomonadaceae
Description: partial 16S ribosomal RNA
Rfam family: Bacterial small subunit ribosomal RNA
Source: RNAcentral
CCUACGGGAGGCUGCAGUGGGGAAUAUUGGACAAUGGGGGGAACCCUGAUCCAGCCAUGCCGCGUGUGUGAAGAAGGCCCUCGGGUUGUAAAGCACUUUCAGUGAGGAAGAACGCCUGGUGGUUAAUACCCAUCAGGAAAGACAUCACUCACAGAAGAAGCACUGGCUAACUCCGUGCCAGCAGCCGCGGUAAUACGGAGGGUGCGAGCGUUAAUCGGAAUUACUGUGCGUAAAGCGCGCGUAGGUGGCUUGAUAAGCCGGUUGUGAAAGCCCCGGGCUCAACCUGGGAACGGCAUCCGGAACUGUCAAGCUAGAGUGCAGGAGAGGAAGGUAGAAUUCCCGGUGUAGCGGUGAAAUGCGUAGAGAUCGGGAGGAAUACCAGUGGCGAAGGCGGCCUUCUGGACUGACACUGACACUGAGGUGCGAAAGCGUGGGUAGCAAACAGGAUUAGAUACCCCGGUAGUC